GUUAAGUUAGUUUAAAUAAAAUUUUAGUUUGUGGAACUAAGGAUGAAAAAUACUUUCACUUAACC
RNAcentral lists this transfer RNA (65 nucleotides) under Benthomangelia sp. JEU-2016. RNAcentral's name for it is "tRNA-His". The record is from RNAcentral. Lineage: Eukaryota; Metazoa; Mollusca; Gastropoda; Neogastropoda; Conidae.